This 500-nucleotide ribosomal RNA is filed under the name uncultured bacterium. Its description in RNAcentral is "partial 16S ribosomal RNA". It matches the Rfam family "Bacterial small subunit ribosomal RNA", at positions 30 to 523 of the family's 1533-position model. The record is from RNAcentral.
AUUGAACGCUGGCGGAAUGCUUUACACAUGCAAGUCGAACGGCAGCGCGGACUUCGGUCUGGUGGCGAGUGGCGAACGGGUGAGUAAUGUAUCGGAACGUGCCCAGUCGUGGGGGAUAACGUAGUGAAAAUUACGCUAAUACCGCAUACGAUCUAUGGAUGAAAGCGGGGGAUCGCAAGACCUCGCGCGAUUGGAGCGGCCGAUAUCAGAUUAGGUAGUUGGUGGGGUAAAGGCCCACCAAGCCAACGAUCUGUAGCUGGUCUGCGAGGACGACCAGCCACACGGGAACUGAGACACGGUCCAGACUCCUACGGGAGGCAGCAGUGGGGAAUUUUGGACAAUGGGCGAAAGCCUGAUCCAGCCAUUCCGCGUGCAGGAUGAAGGCCCUCGGGUUGUAAACUGCUUUUGUACAGAACGAAAAGGCUCUGGUUAAUACCUGGGGCUCAUGACGGUACCGUAAGAAUAAGCACCGGCUAACUACGUGCCAGCCGCCGCAGUAA